Chelonoidis abingdonii (Abingdon island giant tortoise) is the source of this 610-nucleotide non-coding RNA. Lineage: Eukaryota; Metazoa; Chordata; Testudines; Testudinidae. The record is from RefSeq and is a predicted model, not a curated record.
GCUGUCUGCAUGCAUGUGUUGUGACUGGAGCAUGCAUUCACGUGUGCAUCUCACAAACAUACUCUUUAAAAAAUGAAAUAAUUGAAAGCCACUUCACUUCCCAGCUCAGACCAAGGAUGGGAAAUUUCGGCUAGAAAGGGAUUUGAUAAAGUUAUUAACCAUGGAAAUUGGGCUGUUAGGCUGGAAACUGGAAUUCAUUCUGCUGCCUCGCCUGUUGCAAUACAGCAAGAACCAAAAGCGUGUGACCCUGACAAGGUUUGGAGUUUCAUGACACACAGAAGUAUUGGAAAGCUUGGAGAAGUUCGCAUGUGCAUGUGUGCACACACCCACACAUGCUCACCCCUCUCACAAAGCUGGCCUGGUUAAUGAAUUUCCAUCAAAAUGUUCCCAAACUGGUGGUUUUGCAGGGUUUGGAUGUGAAACCAGCUAAAAUACUAUGGUUCUAGCUGGGAUUUGCCUGGAGAUCUGAGGUUGAUGCUCAGGAUGGUGGGAAAGAAAUAGCCCUGGAGAAGCAAACUUCAGAAAGGGAGCCUCACCCCCCACGUCUGGCAGGGUUCUCAUUAUGCAUCGUAAUGAAUUAAUCUGAGGAACAGUGCUCUGGGAGUCUGGG